UACGUAGGAUCCUAGCGUUGUCCGGAUUUACUGGGUGUAAAGGGUGCGCAGGCGGACUUAUAAGUCAGUGGUGAAAUCUCGGCGCUUAACGCCGAAACUGCCUUUGAUACUAUAAGUCUUGAGUUUGGUAGAGAUCCGUGGAAUUCCGAGUGUAGCAGUGAAAUGUGUAGAUAUUCGGAAGAACACCAGCGGCGAAGGCAGCGGAUUGGGCCAAUACUGACGCUGAGGAGCGAAAGCGUGGGGAGCGAACAGG
This 253-nucleotide ribosomal RNA is filed under the name uncultured bacterium. RNAcentral describes it as "partial 16S ribosomal RNA". It matches the Rfam family "Bacterial small subunit ribosomal RNA", at positions 524 to 776 of the family's 1533-position model. The record is from RNAcentral.